GUAGGUGGCAAGCGUUGUCCGGAAUUAUUGGGCGUAAAGCGCGCGCAGGCGGUUCUUUAAGUCUGAUGUGAAAGCCCACGGCUCAACCGUGGAGGGUCAUUGGAAACUGGAGAACUUGAGUACAGAAGAGGAAAGCGGAAUUCCACGUGUAGCGGUGAAAUGCGUAGAGAUGUGGAGGAACACCAGUGGCGAAGGCGGCUUUCUGGUCUGUAACUGACGCUGAGGCGCGAAAGCGUGGGGAGCAAACAGGAUUAGAUACCCCGGUAGUCCACGCCGUAAACGAUGAGUGCUAAGUGUUAGGGGGGUUUCCGCCCCCUUAGUGCUGCAGCUAACGCAUUAAGCACUCCGCCUGGGGAGUACGGCCGCAAGGCUG
Molecule: ribosomal RNA, 373 nt
Filed under: uncultured organism
Description: partial 16S ribosomal RNA
Rfam family: Bacterial small subunit ribosomal RNA
Source: RNAcentral